This 809-nucleotide long non-coding RNA is filed under the name Pogonomyrmex barbatus (red harvester ant). Its description in RNAcentral is "uncharacterized LOC105422599, transcript variant X3". The record is from RNAcentral. Lineage: Eukaryota; Metazoa; Arthropoda; Insecta; Hymenoptera; Formicidae.
UCGUGCUUCACCCCCGGUUUUCGUCACGCGAGUUUUAAAAGUUUCGGAUUAUUUUGUGCGAAUAAAGGUGCGAAAAAUGGGCAGUGAAGUGAUUAGAAGAAGCAUAAAGUUAGCAUCGAUGUUGGAUACUCACAUAAAUGCGGAGAAAUUUUUAACUAAAUAUCUAACGUUUCGCUCGAUGCCAACUAUCUGCUUUUCACACGUUUUUUGUGCGAAUGUUCUGAUACAAUAUUGGGAGUAUUGUAUUAGUUAGAUACUUUGGUACCGACGCGCGUUUACUCCGGAUUGCCGGAGAAAUAAUUGAAACGUGACGUGCGGUUGGACACGAGGAGGAGGAUGUGGGUGGACACAUCCAAAAUCUCCUCUCUCAUCUCCACAAUCGUAAGUGACUCUCUAUUUUUAUAAAAGCAACUCAUAUAUCGAACUCGCGAUUUAGCUAAUUUUUAAUAAUAAAUUAUAGUAAGAAAUGCACGUCAAAGAGUCACUGCGGUGAUGAAUCCGCUCACGCAAAUUCGAAGGCGACACGCGGAGGACGAGGCAGAAGCAGGUCCAGCGCGUAAGCAAUAUUAUUAAAAACUAGACAGGAGUAAAAAUACAAUUUUCCAAGAUUAAAAUAUUAAAUGCUUUUAGAAAGGUCGUAUUGAACGCAGGAAUUAGAGGAGGAGGCGCCAGAAAUUAUUCAGCUUUCAUUUGAUACGGCAGUAAGUACUCCCGAUCAGCGAGUGUUUUCGCCCGAAUACGACCAUAUGUACUCCCCCGUAAUCCCGGAAGAGAGAAUUUGGAGCGAUGAAGAAGGGGAAGAAGAAGAA